CAAUAACCAGACCUUUCCAGUUCUACUUCCAGGAAUGACGGAAAUAAGAUGGCACCUCAGCAAAACCACAGAAUGGUGUUAGGAAGACCUUAUAGGCCUGGGUAUUUAUAACUUCCCUGGAACAAAAGGUGGUGCACUGGGACAUCAAUCAAGAGUUUUGCAUACAGGAUUAAAAAAUUUGCUCAAAUUCCUCUCAUGAGACCCUGUUAAAACAUUCUAGAGUCAUUUUCCACAUGGCACGCACCACUUAAUCCUUAACUUCUAUUUCUCCUUAACCUUAGCCUCCCUUCUCACUUUGAAUUCGUUUGGGAACAUUACCCCAGUUCCUUGCUUGGGCACUCAUAAUAAAUCACCUUCAUACCUAGGCUUGUUUCUCUUCUGUAGUGCCAGAUCAUGCCUGCCCAUCUGUUGGACCAUGCUUAUGGUAACAGAUUUUGGUGAGCCAGCAGGACUCCUGCUGCUCUAGGGAUACGCCCUGUUCCUCAAGCAGCUCUGAUCUGGAUCUCAUCAGCCAUGGGGCUUCCCCAGAAUGCUCAGCUCUGUGCCUAGCAGCUGCCCAGUGAUUUUUCUGGAGGGCCGAGGCUGGAGGUUCUGGGCCAAAUUUCUACCAUGGAUGAACACUGGGUGCUUUGGGUUAAGAUGACUCUUUUUCUCCUUUGUUUCAGGAGGUACCAGCGCUUGAACCUAGGACCUUGUCCCUGGAAAGCAGGCACUCAACCACUUGAGCGCUAUCCAUUCCAUGAAGGUGAUUCUGAAGCUGAGUGUUCGCCUAUGCUAGAGUUUUACAGUGACCAUGAUGCCUUGAAAAAGUGUAAAUUGCUAGUUUUCAAGAACCAAAGGAAAGUAUCUAGCAGCUGAGGUGAGUGACCUGUUAGAUGAUAUUUUUUCCCUGCUCUGCCACCCCUUGUGUGUUUAGUGUUGAAUAUUUUUUCAUGGUUUUUUUUGCCAUUUGUAUUUCUUCUUUGGACAAAUGUCUAUUCAAGUCUUUAGCCAUGUUUUAUUUGGAUUGUUUAUCUUUUUAUUGUUGAGUUGUAGCAUCUCUUUUUUAUAUCCUGGUUAUGAAACCCUUAUCAGACAUGUGAUUUUCCAAUAUUUUCUCCCAUUGAGUUUGCUUCCUAUUCACCCUUUUGACAAAGUCCUGUGAGGUGCAGAAGUGUUUAAUUUUGAGGAGGUCCCAUUUAUCUCUUUUGUUUUGUUGUGUAUGCUUUGGGUGUAAGGUCCAAGAAACCACCACCUACUAUAAGGUCUACAACAAGAUAUUCCCCUUCAUUUUCUUCUAUUAGUUUUAUUUUCCUGGCUUUUAUAUUUAGGUCUUUGUUCGAUUUUGAGUUGAUUCGUUUAUAAGGAGUGAGAAAAAGGUCCUCUUUCAUUCUUUUGGUUAUAGAUACCCAGGUCUCCCAUUGCCUCUUUUUCAAGAAAUUCUUUUGUCCUGUUACCAUGGACUUGGUAGGUUUGUGGAAAUCCAUUUUGCCAUAGAAAUGAGGGCUUAUUUCUGGACUCUGAAUUCUGUUCCACUGAUUGAUGUGUCUGUCUUUAUGCAAGUACGAUGCUGUUUUGACCACCAUAGCUUUGAAAUAUGUUUCAAGUUCAGGCAGAGAAAUUCCUCCCAUGUCACUCUUCUUUUUUUAGUAUGCUUUUGGCAUUUUGGGUGCCCUUUCCCUUCCAAAUGAAUCUGGAAAUUGCCCUUUUUAAUUCUUUAAAGUAGGCUGUUGAAAUUUUGAUUGGUAUUGCUUUAAAUUAGUUUGGGUAGGAUUGACAUAUUCAGGAUAUUUAUUCUUCUACUCCAUAAACAUGGAAUGUCUUUCCAUUUGUUUAGGUCUUUUAAAAUUUCUUUCAGCAUUGUUUCAUAGUUUUCUACACAUAGCUACCGUGCCUCUGUGGUUGAAUUAAUUCCUAGGUAUCUGAGUCUUUUUGAUGUUAUUUAAAUUGGAAUUUUUCCCCCUGAUUUCCUCCUCAGAUUGUUCAGUACUAGUUGUGUAGAAGAACAUUACUGAAUUUUGCAUGUUGAGAUUGUAUCUGCCACUUUGCUUAACUUGUUCAUUAGCUCAAGUAGCUUUGUUGUAGACAUUUGGGAAUUUUCUAAACAUAGGAUCAUGUCAUCUGCAAAUAGAGUUUUACUUCUUUUUUCUAUUUGACUGUCUUUUACUUAUUUUUGUUGUUUAAUUGCUCUAACUGGAACUUCUAGCAUAAUGCUGAAUAACAGUGGUGGCAUUGGGCAUCCUUGUCUUGUUCCAGAACUUAGAGGGGAAAUUUUCAACCUUUGCCCAUUAAGAUAUUGGCUGUGGGAUUUUCAUAUAUGCCUUUUAUCAUAUUGAGGAAUUUUCCUUUUAUUUCUAUGUUUUAAAAUAUUUAUUGAGAAAGGAUGGUGGAUUUUUGCUGAAUGCUUUUUCUGCAUUGAUGGAGAUGAUCUUGUGGGUUUAUUCCUUCAAUUUUUCAAUGUGAUGUAUUACAUUAAACUUUUUUCUAACGUUGAACCAGCCUCACAUACCAGGACUAAAUCCUUCUUUGUCAUGAUUAUAAGACUUUUGAUAUGCUGUUGAAUUCUAUUUGCAAAUAUUUUUGUUCAGAAUUUUUGCAUCUAUAUUCAUUAGAGAAAUUGUUCCACAAUUUUCUUUUCUUGUAAUGUCCUUAUCUGUCUGUAGUCUUAGGGUGAUGUUGGUUUCAUAAAAUGUGUUGGAUAAUUUUCUCUCCUCUUUAAAAUUUUGGAAGAGUUUAAAGAGGAUGGUGUCAGUUUUUUUCAAAAUAUUUGUUAGGAUUCACAUGUGAAGGCAUCUACUCCAGGAUUUUCUCAGUUGGAGAAUUUUUUUUUUUUUAAGAUUUAUUUAUUUAUUUCUCUCCCCUUUUCCCACCCCAGUUGUCUGUUCUCUGUGUCUACUUGCUGCAUGUUCUUCUUUAUCUGCCUCUGUUGUUGUCAGCAGCAUGGGAGUCUAUGUUUCUUUUUGUUGUGCCAUCUUGUUGUAUCAGCUCUCCGUGU
RNAcentral lists this long non-coding RNA (2974 nucleotides) under Dasypus novemcinctus (nine-banded armadillo). Its description in RNAcentral is "lncRNA (ENSDNOG00000051291.1)". The record is from RNAcentral. Lineage: Eukaryota; Metazoa; Chordata; Mammalia; Cingulata; Dasypodidae.